CCUACGGGACGCACCAGUGGGGAAUAUUGCACAAUGGGCGCAAGCCUGAUGCAGCCAUGCCGCGUGUAUGAAGAAGGCCUUCGGGUUGUAAAGUACUUUCAGUCGGGAGGAAGGUGAUGAGCUUAAUACGCUCAUCAAUUGACGUUACCGACAGAAGAAGCACCGGCUAACUCCGUGCCAUCAGCCGCGGUAAUACGGAGGGUGCAAGCGUUAAUCGGAAUUACUGGGCGUAAAGCGCACGCAGGCGGUUGAUUGAGUCAGAUGUGAAAUUCCCGGGCUUAACCCGGGAAUUGCAUCUGAUACUGGUCAGCUAGAGUCUUGUAGAGGGGGGUAGAAUUCCAUGUGUAGCGGUGAAAUGCGUAGAGAUGUGGAGGAAUACCGGUGGCGAAGGCGGUCCCCUGGACAAAGACUGACGCUCAGGUGCGAAAGCAUGGGGAGCAAACAGGAUUAGAUACCCGGGUAGUC
RNAcentral lists this ribosomal RNA (465 nucleotides) under uncultured bacterium. RNAcentral describes it as "bacterial SSU rRNA". It matches the Rfam family "Bacterial small subunit ribosomal RNA", at positions 338 to 795 of the family's 1533-position model. The record is from RNAcentral.